GUCUACGGCCAUACCACCCUGAACGCACCUGAUCUCGUCUGAUCUCAGAAGCUAAGUAGGGUCAGGCCUGGUUAGUACUUGGGUGGGGGGAAGUCAAUUUCUUUCUUUU
This 109-nucleotide ribosomal RNA is filed under the name Octodon degus (degu). Lineage: Eukaryota; Metazoa; Chordata; Mammalia; Rodentia; Octodontidae. The record is from RNAcentral.